Molecule: ribosomal RNA, 490 nt
Filed under: uncultured bacterium
Lineage: Bacteria
Description: partial 16S ribosomal RNA
Rfam family: Bacterial small subunit ribosomal RNA
Source: RNAcentral
AUUGAACGCUGGCGGCAGGCCUAACACAUGCAAGUCGAACGGUAACAGGAAGAAGCUUGCUUCUUUGCUGACGAGUGGCGGACGGGUGAGUAAUGUCUGGGAAACUGCCUGAUGGAGGGGGAUAACUACUGGAAACGGUAGCUAAUACCGCAUAACGUCGCAAGACCAAAGAGGGGGACCUUCGGGCCUCUUGCCAUCGGAUGUGCCCAGAUGGGAUUAGCUAGUAGGUGGGGUAACGGCUCACCUAGGCGACGAUCCCUAGCUGGUCUGAGAGGAUGACCAGCCACACUGGAACUGAGACACGGUCCAGACUCCUACGGGAGGCAGCAGUGGGGAAUAUUGCACAAUGGGCGCAAGCCUGAUGCAGCCAUGCCGCGUGUGUGAAGAAGGCCUUCGGGUUGUAAAGUACUUUCAGCGGGGAGGAAGGGAGUAAAGUUAAUACCUUUGCUCAUUGACGUUACCCGCAGAAGAAGCACCGGCUAACUCCGUG